AUCCGUGUUCUACCCUGACAGUAUUUUCCAGUGUGACACUGCAACAGAUCCGAAGAUGUAUUUGCAAUGGGCUUGGGAUCUGGUUCCUAUUACAGAUGACCCUGCGGACUUUUUCUGCUAGAAACCUUAUUAGUGAAUACCUAUUUGUCUUCUACAAUUCCACCUAAGAGAGGGAAGAUUGCUCAAUUUCUGUAGCAGGGGAAAGUCAAGGUCCUACGAACAGCCACCAUGGUGACUCUUCCUCUUUUCCUCUUCUUCGUCCUCUUGCCCUGCAGUAAAGCCCGGGACGAAUUUCUGGACCAGCAUCAGAAAUGGAACUACAGAGAAGGCGCUGACAAGGUCAACAUAGAAGGCAUUAACAGCAUUACUCAAACACUUGAGAAAUGGGGAAAUGGCAUCUUCUGGCAAAUGAAACACAAAAAAAAAAUGAAACCCACCCUUCUGAACAACCCAAAUGCUUUACUGCCCGAGUUCUCCAGCCUCCGCCCUGUCUCCGCAGCUGUGGACAAUCUUGUGAGGGAAGUCCAUUCGAUAAGGAAAAGGCUAGAAGAACUGAAUGAACGCCUCAACGUCAUCAGCAAAACUGUCCUUCCCAUCCGAUUGAAUGCUCUGCAGAGCCAGAGGCGUGGAAAUACUCAGCUGCGGAGACUUCCGAUGCAUAGGAGAAGGUUGUAUGCUCGCAGGAGACCUCAAAGGAGUUAAUUCUCUACCAGAAAGAAAGGGAAAUCUUUCUUUUUUUCAUCUGCUUAAGCCUUUCUCCAUGGGACUCUGCUAGAGAAAAUAAAGCAAAGCACAUGCAAGUCAGCUUUAUUAAGGAGACCAGAACUUCUGCAUUUUGUUGCUGCCUUUCAAACCUAGGUCAGUAGGUGAAAUCUGACCCUUCAGUGAUGGCUGUUUGGUGUCCCAAGCAGAAUGAGUUGACAAGCUCAGUCUACUUGAGUGUGAAUACCUUCAGGCUAUACAAUCAUUCUUUCUGCUUACCAGAGGAAGUUCUUUCUAUAAAGAUCAGGUGAAUUUCUCUCUCUGUCCUAUUUUUACAGCACUCCAUCUGACACAGCUGGGGAAUCUGAUCUUCAAAAGUACUGAACGCCUGAUGAAUGCAGAAAGAUUGAUUACUGUUUGGCAAUUCCAGCUGGGCAGGGAGGGGUAGAGGAAGCUAUGUUUUAAAAUACAGCCUUAACCUAUUCUCCAUCAGUGCAAAGAAUGCCCCGUUCACAUGUUCAGAGGGUAGGUAGGGUUGGAUAACCUUGGUCUGUUCCAAGACUGAAGAUGUGUCAGAUUCUAGGGACCAAAUUUGAACAUCUAUCUUCUGCAAAGAGCUUUUUUUUAGCUAUCUGGAACUGGGCACUCAAAACCUUGUUAUUCAGCAGAUAUGUUCAGAAUUUCCAGCACUCUGAAAGACGUCGCAUUGACUUCUGCCAAGACCCUUGGAAACCAGGGGAUGUUUUUUCAAAACUAUUCAGAUAGCUAAUGGCAUAGAUAGGUGUCUAGAAGGAUUUUCCAAAAUAGUUUAAGAGACAGUUCAGUCCCCAAAAUCACAGAUAAUAAUUCAAUUGGUGUCUAAUUCGCAGAGUAUCUUCUCCACAUGCAAGCACUGACCUCCAGACAUUUUCCAACAUCCUUUAGCACAAUUAAGAUCUGUAGAAAAAUAAUAACUACGCAAGUCAAGGACUUUGGUGCCUCAGGGAGUACCCAGAAUACCCCGCCUUCGGCUUGUCCUUGCCUGUGGCUUCCUGAUGAUAGAAGUGGUGAUAAAAAACAGUGCAGAAAUCAAAUUAUGCACUGAACAGAGGAUAUAGUGGGCUUGCCCUUCAGGUCUCUAAAGGUAAAUCCAAUAUAGAGAUUCCCAUCCAGCACUGCAGCCAACUGUAUACCUGAAAUCUGUUGAAACAUAGGCAGGAGAGUCAGAGAGGAAAAUAAACUAUUUUUUUAAAGGUCUGGAUGAAGCAAUUUAUGAGAACAAAAAUAAAGAAUGGAUUAUGUCUAAAUGGUUGUGGGGGAGGCUGGCAUGACAGUUGUUUUGCAAACACUCUCCAACCAUAAACAGUGAGGAUGCAGACUAGCUAUUUAAGGAUUCCAAGGCCUGAGUUUAUGGAAAGAAGUUCAGCGACACUACAGUAACCUCCAGAGGGAAACGGGAAAAACUAGUUUCAUAUGAAAUCUUUCAAAAUGAACCAGAAGAAGCAACACAGUCAGCAUUUUGGCUGUGACCUGGGAGUUCAGUGGGGGAGGUAUGAGGAGUGUAUGAGACAAUCUGAUAAAUAUUUCCCGGGUGCAAAUUCUGAGUUCAGGUUUUCAGAAAAUAACAAAACUCUAACUUGGAAGAUCUUUCUUUGGCUUUUGCUUGGGAAUUUGAAACACUGCAUAACUAGACAAAGGAAGAAUCAAGCCUGUGAAAAGGCUCAUAAAAAGAUACAGUUGUGCCGUUGGUGAAGUUGUCAUCAUAAUUUCUCAGGAAGUGUAAAGUAUUUUGAUCCCAGAAUAUAUUUACCUAAAUUACAAGGAAUAACAAGAGAGAAAGGCCUCAUCAACCUCCUCCUUGUUAUUUGGCAUUCAGAGCUACUAGGCUGUGCUGUAGCAUCAGCUGUACACUUGCACAGACUGCUGGUCCCUCCAGGGGAUGCUUUACACUCUUUGCUUGGGGCUGUAGGGACUGGACUGCUGGUCACUUUGGCCUAUCUAGAGGAAGAAUACAACAUAAAAAACAGCUUUCAUGUUCAUAUUUUAGACAUGAGCAUUUUAUCAGGCAACCUGAAGUUGUAUAAAAUCCAACAUGAAACAGAAAGGUAAGACUCCUGGCCCAGGGAAGCCCCUCAGUCACAGAUGGCUGGAGGUGGGAGGCCAGACCAGAUCACUGAAUGCUUUUACUUUUUACCUAGAAGUCCACCACCAGCUUCUGCCAGGGACAGAGGAUCGGGCAAGAUGGACCUCUGCUCUGACCCAGUCCAUGUAUUUCUAUACUGAUAUGUGCAAGUUGGUAUCUUUGGCAAAAUUCCUCAGCUCAAUGGAGAAAUUCACUGUUUUAAAAGAGAACAAAUAAGCUGCAGCAUGCAAUGUAUAUUACAAUUUUACAAUUUC
Long non-coding RNA from Pygoscelis adeliae (Adelie penguin), 3078 nucleotides. RefSeq lists it as uncharacterized. The record is from RefSeq and is a predicted model, not a curated record. The transcript has 4 exons. Lineage: Eukaryota; Metazoa; Chordata; Aves; Sphenisciformes; Spheniscidae.